This 205-nucleotide ribosomal RNA is filed under the name uncultured bacterium. RNAcentral's name for it is "partial 16S ribosomal RNA". It matches the Rfam family "Bacterial small subunit ribosomal RNA", at positions 568 to 773 of the family's 1533-position model. The record is from RNAcentral.
CUCGUAGGUGGCCAACUAAGUCAGACGUGAAAUCCCUCAGCUUAACUGGGGAACUGCGUCUGAUACUGGAUGGCUUGAGUUUGGGAGAGGGAUGCGGAAUUCCAGGUGUAGCGGUGAAAUGCGUAGAUAUCUGGAGGAACACCGGUGGCGAAGGCGGCAUCCUGGACCAAUACUGACACUGAGGAGCGAAAGCCAGGGAGCAACG